CGACAUUUCGCCGAGCAAUGCCUCACUGAUCAUCGGAUCCUGGUGCGACUGCUCGUUCUUGGAGUUCUCCCAAGUAUGGGAGGUUACGACGAGGGGGACCGAAAUCCAGCCGGGUUCCUGGCCGAGCUCGCGCUGCCGCCGGGCGAAGACGAUCUCCUGGCGCAGACCGCCGAGCAUCUUCAUGGCGAAAGCUUCGUAGCUGACAAUCAGGUUGAUCCCGCCCUUGUUGGCAAGCGCCGCACCCGCCACUGCUUCCUCGUUCAGCGCGGU
RNAcentral lists this unclassified non-coding RNA (270 nucleotides) under Hevea brasiliensis (rubber tree). The record is from RNAcentral. Lineage: Eukaryota; Viridiplantae; Streptophyta; Magnoliopsida; Malpighiales; Euphorbiaceae.